AACAAGGCGUACCUGCGGACCUGCGGAGGGAUCAUUACCGAGUGUGAACCCCCCCGUAAAAAAGAGGGGUUACCUCCCGUCCUUUGCUGGGAACCCCUUUCCAACUUGGAAGGAGGUUGUUUUCAGACCCUUCUGCUUCGGUGGGGUAACCCACCGGAACAACCUCAAAAAUAUUCUCAAUUCAAAACCGUUCAGUCCGAGAACUUUUUUGAAAAGCGAAAAAACUUUCAACAACGGAUA
Molecule: unclassified non-coding RNA, 240 nt
Filed under: soil metagenome
Description: partial contains 5.8S ribosomal RNA, internal transcribed spacer 2, and large subunit ribosomal RNA
Source: RNAcentral